Molecule: transfer-messenger RNA, 366 nt
Filed under: Knoellia remsis
Lineage: Bacteria; Bacillati; Actinomycetota; Actinomycetes; Micrococcales; Intrasporangiaceae
Description: Standard tmRNA
Rfam family: transfer-messenger RNA
About the family: Bacterial tmRNA, also known as 10Sa RNA or SsrA, is named for its dual tRNA and mRNA-like properties. Its role is to liberate the mRNA from a stalled ribosome. To accomplish this part of the tmRNA is used as a reading frame that ends in a translation stop signal.
Source: Rfam by way of RNAcentral
GGGGGUGAUCGGUUUCGACAUUGGUCGGCGGAUCAAGGGAAGCGGGUCGAGGAUGCACGGUCAUCUCGUCAACGCUCCGUGCAAACCCAUAGGUGCCAACUCCAAGCGCACCGACUUCGCCCUCGCCGCCUGAGCGAGCCCGAAGUCUGUCAGCCUGAGCUAGUUCUCGACUCAGUGCCUGGCAUCAGCUAGAGAACUCGCUGCUGCGUCACGUCGCGGGACGCAGUGGGACUCCUACGCGACUGGGCCUGUCAGGGAACGUGUGCGCGCGAGCCCUGGGGCCGAGAAACUCCAUAGCGCACUGCACCCGGAGAAGCCUUGGUUUCCCGUCAGUGGACGCGGGUUCGAUUCCCGCCACCUCCACCA